Bos taurus (domestic cattle) is the source of this 104-nucleotide small nuclear RNA. The record is from Ensembl. NCBI's taxonomy places the organism in Eukaryota, Metazoa, Chordata, Mammalia, Artiodactyla, Bovidae.
GUGUUCAUUUGGGCAGCACAUAUACUAAAAUUGGAACGAUACAGAGAUUAGCAUGGCCCCUGUGCAAGGAUGACAUGCAAAUUCGGGAAGCAUUCCAUAUUUUU